Long non-coding RNA from Brassica napus (rape), 604 nucleotides. RefSeq lists it as uncharacterized. The record is from RefSeq and is a predicted model, not a curated record. The transcript has 2 exons. Lineage: Eukaryota; Viridiplantae; Streptophyta; Magnoliopsida; Brassicales; Brassicaceae.
UUAGCUCGGUAAUUAGCUAUUCAUGCAUAAAAAACUUGUAUUUGCAUAUCUGGUUAUCGAGGGGUAGCAAAAUUACCUUUUAGUCCAAGCCAAGUGAGAGAGAGUUGCUAGAGGUCAGAUUUGGGGUAGUGUAGUCAUAGCUUGUGUCAGUUAGCGUGUCAGUUGGUGUCAGAUUCAGAUUGUGUGCAAGAUACAUUUGGAUGAGAUUUGGUUCAUUCCUUCCUUGUUCACUGUGUUCUGGAUUUUUCAAUCUGAGUCAACUCUGCACUGCGUCACCUUCGUUGCUGGAUCCACCGUCCAUCACAUCGCUUCACUCUGUGGGUGUUAUGCUUUGGAUUGGAGUUGGCGGCUUUCACCGUCGCGACUACCAUUCCUCUUCAAAAGCUUGCUGACACAACAAUGGUCAACUUUGGCUCUUUUGCAUAUCUUAUCCCUCAGUUUUUCAUAGUUUUGUUUCUCGAAUUAAUUCCUGAUGUUUUGAUUGCACAUUUUAGACCACCUCACAAUUGCACAAAUGAUCCCUGAUCUCUGUAUUACUUUUAUUUUGACCCGAAACUUACUAAGUUGUAAAACUAACCUUGCGAAUUCAUCCCAAAUUUUUGAA